This 312-nucleotide long non-coding RNA is filed under the name Androctonus crassicauda. Lineage: Eukaryota; Metazoa; Arthropoda; Arachnida; Scorpiones; Buthidae. The record is from RNAcentral.
GAGUGUAUCGCUGAUGAUGUCAGAGAAAGAGAGCUUCUUAUUGGAUGUGCAGUUGCGACCAUCGCUACAAAAACAAACUUUUUGUUGACCAGCGAUGUUGCAUCAGCGACCAGUUCGGAGGGGGUUUACGAAUUAGGGAGAAGAGCCGGUUGCAGCUGCGGCUAAAAAUCGCAAGGUGUGACCGCCGCUUAAGAAAAACACAAACAAUUGACUUAUUUGCAUACAAUGCAAACAGAAAUUCUAUAGUUAUAUUAAGAAAGAGAGAGAGAAGAAUUUUUCUAACUGAACAUAUGUUAAAAACUGAUUUAAAAA